Molecule: ribosomal RNA, 253 nt
Filed under: uncultured bacterium
Lineage: Bacteria
Description: partial 16S ribosomal RNA
Rfam family: Bacterial small subunit ribosomal RNA
Source: RNAcentral
UACGAAGGGGGCUAGCGUUGUUCGGAAUUACUGGGCGUAAAGCGCGCGCAGGUGGUCUUUCAAGCCAGUGGUGAAAGCCCGGAGCUCAACUCCGGAAAUGCCAUUGAAACUGUGAGACUUGAGGAUGAGAGAGGUGAGUGGAAUUCCCAGUGUAGAGGUGAAAUUCGUAGAUAUUGGGAAGAACACCGGUGGCGAAGGCGGCUCACUGGCUCAUAUCUGACGCUCAGGCGCGACAGCGUGGGGAUCAAACAGG